UUUACACAUGCAAGUCGAACGGCAGCACGGGGGCUUGCUCCUGGUGGCGAGUGGCGAACGGGUGAGUAAUGCGUCGGAACGUAUCCAUUAAUGGGGGAUAACGCAGCGAAAGCUGUGCUAAUACCGCAUACGCCCUGAGGGGGAAAGCAGGGGAUCUUCGGACCUUGCGUUAUUGGAGCGGCCGACGUCUGAUUAGCUAGUUGGUGGGGUAAAGGCCUACCAAGGCGACGAUCAGUAGCUGGUCUGAGAGGAUGAUCAGCCACACUGGAACUGAGACACGGUCCAGACUCCUACGGGAGGCAGCAGUGGGGAAUUUUGGACAAUGGGCGCAAGCCUGAUCCAGCCAUUCCGCGUGAGUGAAGAAGGCCUUCGGGUUGUAAAGCUUUUUCGGCAGGGAAGAAACAGUUGAGGCUAAUAUCCUUGACCAAUGACGGUACCUGCAUAAGAAGCACCGGCUAACUACGUGCCAGCAGCCGCGGUAAUACGUAGGGUGCGAGCGUUAAUCGGAAUUACUGGGCGUAAAGCGUGCGUAGGCGGUUUUUCAAGUCUGAUGUGAAAGCCCCGGGCUUAACCUGGGAACUGCGUUGGAAACUGAAAGACUAGAGUACGGCAGAGGGGGGUAGAAUUCCACGUGUAGCAGUGAAAUGCGUAGAUAUGUGGAGGAAUACCGAUGGCGAAGGCAGCCCCCUGGGUCGAUACUGACGCUCAUGCACGAAAGCGUGGGUAGCAAACAGGAUUAGAUACCCUGGUAGUCC
Molecule: ribosomal RNA, 755 nt
Filed under: uncultured bacterium
Lineage: Bacteria
Description: bacterial SSU rRNA
Rfam family: Bacterial small subunit ribosomal RNA
Source: RNAcentral